CCCGAGCAUCCCCCGGGAGAUGGCCCCUCCCAAGUGACAGCUUGCUCACAUCCCCUUGGUAUCCAAAUCCUGAACACCCACUUUCCUGUAGCACCGCAAGGGAAUUUUAAGGUUAAAAGCUUUAAAUACGCCAGCAAAGAAUAAGUGAAUUAUUUCCAUCCUUCAUUGUGCCAGACCCUUGUGAUAUUUGGGUAGGUGGGACUGUUACUUACAAACUUCUGUUUACCUGAUCUUUGCAUGUUGUCUUUAGUUCAUUCAGAGAUCUUUAAUGCUGUAAUCAUCAAUUAGCUAACUUAUUAUGCUUUGUUAGGACAAAAAAUUUGGUUAAGCCAUUAAGUAAGGUUAGAAUCCACGGACAGGUAAAAAUGUAAGGUGAAACCCGCCUGCAUCAUCUCCUGAACACCUUCAUCCCUGCAAGACCCUCAGAUUUCUCAUGUACUACAACUGAAUAGGAGGAAGCAAGGUUUUGGUCCAGGCCAAACCCUGUGAAAAUUUUACCCUUGUGUCCUUUGUGUCAUCAGGCUACUGGGACUGUGCAGUUUGAACCAGUAAUUUCUAAUCUUUGGGACUGCUGAUAAAGCCAAUAUUUACAUGAGGAAACAAAUGAAUGUGUUCCACACUGAGGCCUCCACUCUGCCACAGUGGUGACUGGAAUUUGGAAUUUUGUUUACAAAGUACAAUUUAAGUUGCAGUAUGUAGAGGGUUUCUGUUGAUUGCUCUUCAGUGAGAUGUUACUCUAUGCCUGUGAGAAUAGCAGGAGGAGGCCUGAGCCCCAGGAUAGCUUUUGGUGCUUUG
Molecule: long non-coding RNA, 795 nt
Filed under: Marmota monax (woodchuck)
Lineage: Eukaryota; Metazoa; Chordata; Mammalia; Rodentia; Sciuridae
Source: RNAcentral